GUCCCCGCACAAGCAGCGGAGCGUGUGGUUUAAUUCGUUGCUACACGAAGAACCUUACCUGGGUUUGACAUAGCAGUGGUAGGAAAGUGAAAGCGGACCGACCCUUCGGGGAGCUGUUACAGGUGUUGCAUGGCUGUCGUCAGCUCGUGUCGUGAGAUGUUCGGUUAAGUCCGCUAACGAGCGCAACCCGCGUGGUGUGUUACAAGUGUCACACCAUACUGCCGAUAUUAAGUCGGAGGAAGGUGCGGAUGACGUCAAGUCAGCAUGACCUUUAUAUCCAGGGCUACACACACGCUACAAUGGUAGGUACAACAGGUUGCCAAGCCGCGAGGCGGAGCCAAUCCUCCAAAGCCUACCUCAGUUCAGAUUGCAGGCUGAAACUCGCCUGCAUGAAGUUGGAGUUGCUAGUAACCGUAGGUCAGCUAUACUGCGGUGAAUACGUUCCCGGGGAUU
This 453-nucleotide ribosomal RNA is filed under the name uncultured bacterium. RNAcentral's name for it is "bacterial SSU rRNA". It matches the Rfam family "Bacterial small subunit ribosomal RNA", at positions 917 to 1382 of the family's 1533-position model. The record is from RNAcentral.